GAUGAACGCUGGCGGCGUGCCUAAUACAUGCAAGUCGAGCGAACAGACGAGGAGCUUGCUCCUCUGACGUUAGCGGCGGACGGGUGAGUAACACGUGGAUAACCUACCUAUAAGACUGGGAUAACUUCGGGAAACCGGAGCUAAUACCGGAUAAUAUAUUGAACCGCAUGGUUCAAUAGUGAAAGACGGUCUUGCUGUCACUUAUAGAUGGAUCCGCGCCGCAUUAGCUAGUUGGUAAGGUAACGGCUUACCAAGGCAACGAUGCGUAGCCGACCUGAGAGGGUGAUCGGCCACACUGGAGCUGAGACACGGUCCAGACUCCUACGGGAGGCAGCAGUAGGGAAUCUUCCGCAAUGGGCGAAAGCCUGACGGAGCAACGCCGCGUGAGUGAUGAAGGUCUUCGGAUCGUAAAACUCUGUUAUUAGGGAAGAACAAAUGUGUAAGUAACUAUGCACGUCUUGACGGUACCUAAUCAGAAAGCCACGGCUAACUACGUG
RNAcentral lists this ribosomal RNA (497 nucleotides) under uncultured bacterium. RNAcentral's name for it is "partial 16S ribosomal RNA". It matches the Rfam family "Bacterial small subunit ribosomal RNA", at positions 28 to 507 of the family's 1533-position model. The record is from RNAcentral.